ACACACGAAUACAAAGAGCCAUACGACCUUCGGUUUCAGGUUUAGCUGUGUCUCCCAGUGACUAUAAUGACAAGGAAGCUGUAAAUGUAUUUGAGUUAAGUUUUUGCGAGAAAUGCCGGAAGGUCCUUCUGAAUCCCUUCCCUGUUCCUUAGGUUGCACUAGUCGGGGGUUCCAUGCUGGGGGGCAGAAGGAAUGCUCUCUACCCUCUGAAACCGUUCAUCAGGAAGGCCUUGAUUUGUGAUGUGCUAGGAGAGCACAGGAUCUGCAAAUAGAAGGCACCUGUCUUCCUUCUGCAGGCCGAGGAGAGGCCGCCAUGGACUGUGUGCUUCUUCAUGGCUUGUCUACUCUUCUUUCACAGACCCUACAGCUUGGGGCCUGGGCUCCUCUGACCAUCCUCAUUGAGAAAGGAAAGUGAGUCCAGAGAAGUCGAUGCUUCCUACCUGUUGGAGCGGCCCAGCAGUGAGGAAGUGGGUGACCUGAGGCAAGGGAAAGUGUCCAUCCCUGAUGAAGAUGGGGAAAGCCGGGCACAUAGUUCCCCACCUGAGGAGCCUGGGCCUCUCAAGGAAAGUCCCGGGGAAGCCU
RNAcentral lists this small RNA (582 nucleotides) under Pan troglodytes (chimpanzee). Its description in RNAcentral is "processed transcript". Lineage: Eukaryota; Metazoa; Chordata; Mammalia; Primates; Hominidae. The record is from RNAcentral.